RNAcentral lists this ribosomal RNA (459 nucleotides) under uncultured bacterium. RNAcentral's name for it is "bacterial SSU rRNA". It matches the Rfam family "Bacterial small subunit ribosomal RNA", at positions 29 to 524 of the family's 1533-position model. The record is from RNAcentral.
AACGAACGCUGGCGGCAUGCCUAACACAUGCAAGUCGAACGGGAUCCAGGCUUCGGCCUGGUGAGAGUGGCGGACGGGUGAGUAACACGUGGGAACCUGCCUUUUGGUUCGGGAUAACCGCGGGAAACUGCGGCUAAUACCGGAUGCUCCCGAGAGGGGAAAGAUUUAUCGCCAGAAGAGGGGCCCGCGUCCGAUUAGGUAGUUGGUGAGGUAAUGGCCCACCAAGCCGACGAUCGGUAGCUGGUCUGAGAGGAUGAUCAGCCACACUGGGACUGAGAUACGGCCCAGACUCCUACGGGAGGCAGCAGUGGGGAAUAUUGGACAAUGGGGCAACCCUGAUCCAGCAAUGCCGCGUGAGUGAUGAAGGCCUUAGGGUUGUAAAGCUCUUUUGCCAGGGAAGAUGAUGACUGUACCUGGAGAAUAAGCCCCGGCUAACUUCGUGCCAGCAGCCGCGGUAAU